This 476-nucleotide ribosomal RNA is filed under the name uncultured bacterium. RNAcentral describes it as "bacterial SSU rRNA". It matches the Rfam family "Bacterial small subunit ribosomal RNA", at positions 28 to 504 of the family's 1533-position model. The record is from RNAcentral.
GAUGAACGCUAGCGGCAGGCUUAACACAUGCAAGUCGAGGGGUAGAAGGAGCUUGCUCCUUUGAGACCGGCGCACGGGUGCGUAACGCGUAUGCAAUCUACCUUUUGCAGAGGGAUAGCCCAGAGAAAUUUGGAUUAAUACCUCAUAGUAUGUGAGGAUGGCAUCAUUUUCACAUUAAAGUCACAACGGCAAAAGAUGAGCAUGCGUCCCAUUAGCUAGUUGGUAAGGUAACGGCUUACCAAGGCUACGAUGGGUAGGGGUCCUGAGAGGGAGAUCCCCCCACACUGGUACUGAGACACGGACCAGACUCCUACGGGAGGCAGCAGUGAGGAAUAUUGGACAAUGGGCGCAAGCCUGAUCCAGCCAUGCCGCGUGCAGGAUGACGGUCCUAUGGAUUGUAAACUGCUUUGUACAGGAAGAACACUACUUCGUGAAGUAGCUUGACGGUACUGUAAGAAUAAGGAUCGGCUAACUCC